CCUACGGGGGGCAGCAGUGGGGAAUAUUGCACAAUGGGCGAAAGCCUGAUGCAGCAACGCCGCGUGAGCGAUGAAGGCCUUCGGGUCGUAAAGCUCUGUCCUCAAGGAAGAUAAUGACGGUACUUGAGGAGGAAGCCCCGGCUAACUACGUGCCAGCAGCCGCGGUAAUACGUAGGGGGCUAGCGUUAUCCGGAAUUACUGGGCGUAAAGGGUGCGUAGGUGGUUUCUUAAGUCAGAGGUGAAAGGCUACGGCUCAACCGUAGUAAGCCUUUGAAACUGGGAAACUUGAGUGCAGGAGAGGGGAGUGGAAUUCGUAGUGUAGCGGUGAAAUGCGUAGAUAUUAGGAGGAACACCAGUGGCGAAGGCGGUCUGCUGGACAGCAACUGACGCUGAGGCGCGAAAGCGUGGGGAGCAAACAGGAUUAGAUACCCGAGUAGUC
RNAcentral lists this ribosomal RNA (439 nucleotides) under uncultured bacterium. RNAcentral describes it as "partial 16S ribosomal RNA". It matches the Rfam family "Bacterial small subunit ribosomal RNA", at positions 338 to 795 of the family's 1533-position model. The record is from RNAcentral.